CCUACGGGGGCUGCAGUGAGGAAUAUUGGUCAAUGGGCGCGAGCCUGAACCAGCCAAGUCGCGUGAGGGAAGACGGUCCUAUGGAUUGUAAACCUCUUUUGUCGGGGAGCAAAAGACGCCACGUGUGGCGUUCCGAGAGUACCCGAAGAAAAAGCAUCGGCUAACUCCGUGCCAGCAGCGGCGGUACUACGGGGGAUGCGAGGGUUAUCCGGAUUUAUUGGGUUUAAAGGGUGCGCAGGCGGAAGGUCAAGUCAGCGGUAAAAGUGAGAGGCUCAACCCCUUCGAGCCGUUGAAACUGGUUUUCUUGAGUGAGUGAGAGGUAUGCGGAAUGCGUGGUGUAGCGGUGAAAUGCAUAGAUAUCACGCAGAACUCCGGUUGCGAAGGCAGCAUACCGGCGCUCAACUGACGCUCAUGCACGAAAGUGUGGGUAUCGAACAGGAUUAGAUACCCGGGUAGUC
Molecule: ribosomal RNA, 458 nt
Filed under: uncultured bacterium
Lineage: Bacteria
Description: partial 16S ribosomal RNA
Rfam family: Bacterial small subunit ribosomal RNA
Source: RNAcentral